RNAcentral lists this long non-coding RNA (2056 nucleotides) under Canis lupus familiaris (dog). RNAcentral describes it as "lncRNA (ENSCAFG00000054412.1)". The record is from RNAcentral. Lineage: Eukaryota; Metazoa; Chordata; Mammalia; Carnivora; Canidae.
AAAAAUGAUUAACAAAAAGUAGGAAUACAAACAAUCUUUAUUGAGCACUUUAUGAAGUGGGCAGUGGCCAUUUGGAGACCUGCAAAAUGGGGCCAAAGGCCAGGAGCCUUCAUAAGUUAAAGAAUGAAGAAGAGAAAAAUGGAAAAUAUCUCAUUGGCUAGAGCCACAAAUCAGCCUCAUUCAGAGUGAGACGGUCCCAGGUUGGCUUGUCAUUUGGAGGUUGGUUGACUGGAAAUAUUCCUGGGUUCCCGAUCGAGCAGGCCAUUUGCAGGUACACAAAAGUUAUCCAAGUUUGUUUGGACAUAGGUUAUAUGUCACCUUGGACAGAACUGGUCCUUCUUGAACCUAGAAACUUAACACUGGCUUACAACAAAGGGGGCAGGAAGAGAGGGAGAAAAUGGGAAUUUAUUUUCCUCCGUUUUGAAAAAACUUAAAAUAGUGCUUCCUGGGCAAGAAUGGGAUUGAGAAUCAUUUCGUCUCAAAAAGAUACUGUGAGAUUUACACACAAAAAUAUGCAUUAUUUUGCCAUUUGUUAUAGUGAUAUUCUGGAAACCACCUAAGACUCUAACCACAGGGAAAGUGAUGUGAAUACAGAAUUUAGGAAUUAUGGGUUAUAAAGCUAGAAAAUCUAAUGACUUACAAGAGCAGUUGAGUGUGUCACCCCAAAAUAUGCCUCUUGAGCAUAAGACUUAUUUUCAGCUGAUUAUUUUGAAGAAACAAUAGAUGUAAGAGAUCUUUUGUCCCUUUUUUAAAGGACAAUUACAUUUACAAAGAAAAUCUCCAUGUGUACAGGUGUCUCCCUCUAAUACCAGAAAAAGAAUGACUGAAUCACAAAAUAAUCUUAUCAGUGGAGGAGGCACCAACUUAAAUGUACACGACAACUACACCUAUUACUGUACUUUUCCUGACAACUUCCUAUAAAUGGCUUCCCCCUCAAAACAUCCUUCUUUUACCUGUAGCUGAAAAUGAUAUUUAAGAUGGUGGCUUGGGUCAUUUGGAGGAGUUUUACUCAGUUUCCUGGGCAUCUCCUAGGUAUACAGGAGGUAUACAUGUUAUUAAACUUCUAUUUGUUUGGGGGUUUUUUUGGUUGUUGUUGUUGUUAAUGUUUGUUAUGGGAGGUGAAGGGUCUCAGCCGCAGAAUCUAGAAAGGUAUAGGGAAGGUUAUUUUCCCUCCCCUACAAUAUCACAGGUGAAGAAAAGUAGAAAGUAAAAUUUAAUGUGCUGUAUGAUUACAUUUUAAAAAACACAAUGCGAGGAAAAAAAACUUAGAAGAAAAACACAUCAAAAUAUUAAUACUAGUUUUGGUGGGGCAGGUGAUAUCUUCGGUGGCUUGGUUUUCUUCUGCUUGUCUUAAUUUUCCAAAAGUUCUUUAAUGAGAAAGGAUGUAUUACAUAAUGGAGUGGAAGAAAUUUUAAAUAAAUGUUCAGUGAGGGUAGAGGUGUGACCCACGGUGAGGAGUUGAGGGGAAAUUCUGAGACCCCCAUUCUGAGACCAUCAGGGGUGGGCGGGGACAUGCAGCGGAGGAAGAUGGAAAGUGCCUCCUCUGGUUGAGAAUGAGGUGAUAAGAACAGAGAAGCCCCUAGAAUGCCAUGAUCAAAGGAAAAGAUUAUUCUGCGUCAGAGUGGGUGGUUUGAGGUUGGGGGAGCUUCAGAGUGAGCAAAGGUUGGGAGGGGAGACUAAUGACUACCAGGGUUUAGAAUGCAUCUGUGCCCCACACCUUCUCCUUUAAGCCAGUUCAAAGGGCGAAAUAAUUAGAAUCAGCUCUCUUCUCCCUCUUUUUAUACUAGUGACAAAAUCAAGCCCAGGAAUAUCAAUUAAUCUGGAGUCUGGACCCUCAGUAAGACCUUUCCCAAAUCCAGGUGCAGAGAAAGCGCUCACUUCAUGAGCUCAACAAGCAGUUAAAGGAAGGAAGGGCAGGAAGCCACCUCUUUGUCAAGAUCUAACAAACGCAGCACCCAAAGCAGUGUGGUUUGGGGCUUAUGAGCUUCCAAUAAAGCUCAUAAAUACAGAAACCCUGGUGGGGGAGAAAGGAAGGUAUCUGUACGAUGAGAGGCAG